CAAUCGUUACCCUUCCAUUUUCACUGGACACGAACCUCUUGAAGUUCUCGCGAGCGCUAUACCCUCCAUGCCCAAAUUGACUUCCCCUUCCAAAUCAAUUUUCCAGGUUCUCAAGUUUAAGUGUAUCAUUUCAUAAACUUGUUUGAUUUGCACAAGUGGAGGAUGCAUAAUUGGUGUCUAUCACAAAUAUUUGCAAAAGUGUGCAGGUCCUAGUUGAGGAGUAUGCAAAGAUCCACAUGACUAGCAGUAUCUAAAAGAGGAAGGAGCAUGAUGAUGGGUGGGGUGACCACACCAACCGGUUGAUGUAUACUCAUUAUUAGAGCAAUUGGAUUUAUUGCACUUCAAGUUACAAACCGACUUACACUCUUGUCUAUAGUUAUGAGUUCAUAAUUUUUGUGCUUGACAAACUCGAACAUUAUAUUAAUUUGAAGAAUCUUGUGUAUAAACUCAAUUAUUUAUUAUUAAAUUUUAAUUUA
This is a long non-coding RNA of Vicia villosa (hairy vetch), 476 nucleotides long. RefSeq lists it as uncharacterized. The record is from RefSeq and is a predicted model, not a curated record. The transcript has 3 exons. NCBI's taxonomy places the organism in Eukaryota, Viridiplantae, Streptophyta, Magnoliopsida, Fabales, Fabaceae.